RNAcentral lists this ribosomal RNA (274 nucleotides) under Staphylococcus haemolyticus. Its description in RNAcentral is "partial 23S ribosomal RNA". It matches the Rfam family "Bacterial large subunit ribosomal RNA", at positions 1564 to 1838 of the family's 2925-position model. The record is from RNAcentral. Lineage: Bacteria; Bacillati; Bacillota; Bacilli; Caryophanales; Staphylococcaceae.
GAUGGGGAGAGGAAAUUGUUUCCUCGAGUCGUUGAUUUCACACUGCCGAGAAAAGCCUCUAGAUAGAUAAUAGGUGCCCGUACCGCAAACCGACACAGGUAGUCAAGAUGAGAAUUCUAAGGUGAGCGAGCGAACUCUCGUUAAGGAACUCGGCAAAAUGACCCCGUAACUUCGGGAGAAGGGGUGCUCUUUAGGGUGCAAGCCCAGAAGAGCCGCAGUGAAUAGGCCCAAGCGACUGUUUAUCAAAAACACAGGUCUCUGCUAAACCGUAAGG